RNAcentral lists this ribosomal RNA (914 nucleotides) under Sporobolomyces patagonicus. RNAcentral's name for it is "LSU rRNA". It matches the Rfam family "Eukaryotic large subunit ribosomal RNA", at positions 38 to 964 of the family's 3401-position model. The record is from RNAcentral. Lineage: Eukaryota; Fungi; Basidiomycota; Microbotryomycetes; Sporidiobolales; Sporidiobolaceae.
GCAUAUCAAUAAGCGGAGGGAAAAGAAACUAACAAGGAUUUCCCCUAGUAGCGGCGAGCGAAGCGGGAAAAGCUCAAAUUUGUAAUCUGGCGUCUACGACGUCCGAGUUGUAAUCUCGAGAAGUGUUUUCCGUGAUAGACCGCAUACAAGUCUCUUGGAACAGAGCGUCAUAGUGGUGAGAACCCAGUACACGAUGCGGAUGCCUAUUACUUUGUGAUACACUUUCGAAGAGUCGAGUUGUUUGGGAAUGCAGCUCAAAUUGGGUGGUAAAUUCCAUCUAAAGCUAAAUAUUGGCGAGAGACCGAUAGCGAACAAGUACCGUGAGGGAAAGAUGAAAAGCACUUUGGAAAGAGAGUUAACAGUACGUGAAAUUGUUGGAAGGGAAACACAUGCAGUGAUACUUGCUAUUCGGGGCAACUCGAUUGGCAGGCCCGCAUCAGUUUUUCGGGGCGGAAAAGCAUAGAGAGAAGGUAGCAGUUUCGGCUGUGUUAUAGCUCUUUAUUGGAUUCGCCCUGGGGGACUGAGGAACGCAGCGUGCUUUUAGCAUAAGCUUCGGCUUAUCCACGCUUAGGAUGCGGGUUUAUGGCUGUAUAUGACCCGUCUUGAAACACGGACCAAGGAGUCUAACAUGCUUGCGAGUAUUUGGGUGUCAAACCCGGAUGCGCAAUGAAAGUGAAUGGAGGUGGGAAGCGCAAGCUGCACCAUCGACCGAUCUGGAUUUUUUAAGAUGGAUUUGAGUAAGAGCAAGUAUGUUGGGACCCGAAAGAUGGUGAACUAUGCCCUGAAUAGGGGCGAAGCCAGAGGAAACUUCUGGUGGAGGCUUCGUAGCGGUUCUGACGUGCAAAUCGAUCGUCAAAUUUGGGUAAUAGGGGCGAAAGACUAAUCGAACCAUCUAGUAGCUGGGUUCCUGCCGA